Molecule: ribosomal RNA, 397 nt
Filed under: uncultured bacterium
Lineage: Bacteria
Description: bacterial SSU rRNA
Rfam family: Bacterial small subunit ribosomal RNA
Source: RNAcentral
GACGAACGCUGGCGGCGUGCUUAACACAUGCAAGUCGAGCGGUAAGGCCCUUUCGGGGGUACACGAGCGGCGAACGGGUGAGUAACACGUGGGUGACCUGCCCUCAGCUCUGGGAUAAGCCUGGGAAACUGGGUCUAAUACUGGAUAUGACUCCACGGUGCAUGUCGUGGGGUGGAAAGCCUUGUGCGGCUGAGGAUGGGCCCGCGGCCUAUCAGCUUGUUGGUGGGGUGANGGCCUACCAAGGCGACGACGGGUAGCCGGCCUGAGAGGGCGACCGGCCACACUGGGACUGAGACACGGCCCAGACUCCUACGGGAGGCAGCAGUGGGGAAUCUUGCGCAAUGGGCGAAAGCCUGACGCAGCGACGCCGCGUGAGGGAUGACGGCCUCGGUUGUAA